RNAcentral lists this ribosomal RNA (496 nucleotides) under uncultured bacterium. RNAcentral describes it as "partial 16S ribosomal RNA". It matches the Rfam family "Bacterial small subunit ribosomal RNA", at positions 29 to 507 of the family's 1533-position model. The record is from RNAcentral.
AUGAACGCUGGCGGCGUGCCUAAUACAUGCCACUCGAGCGAACAGACGAGGAGCUUGCUCCUCUGACGUUAGCGGCGGACGGGUGAGUAACACGUGGAUAACCUACCUAUAAGACUGGGAUAACUUCGGGAAACCGGAGCUAAUACCGGAUAAUAUAUUGAACCGCAUGGUUCAAUAGUGAAAGACGGUUUUGCUGUCACUUAUAGAUGGAUCCGCGCCGCAUUAGCUAGUUGGUAAGGUAACGGCUUACCAAGGCGACGAUGCGUAGCCGACCUGAGAGGGUGAUCGGCCACACUGGAACUGAGACACGGUCCAGACUCCUACGGGAGGCAGCAGUAGGGAAUCUUCCGCAAUGGGCGAAAGCCUGACGGAGCAACGCCGCGUGAGUGAUGAAGGUCUUCGGAUCGUAAAACUCUGUUAUUAGGGAAGAACAAAUGUGUAAGUAACUAUGCACGUCUUGACGGUACCUAAUCAGAAAGCCACGGCUAACUACGUG